This 559-nucleotide ribosomal RNA is filed under the name uncultured bacterium. RNAcentral describes it as "partial 16S ribosomal RNA". It matches the Rfam family "Bacterial small subunit ribosomal RNA", at positions 355 to 906 of the family's 1533-position model. The record is from RNAcentral.
UGGGGAAUUUUGGACAAUGGGCGAAAGCCUGAUCCAGCAAUGCCGCGUGUGUGAAGAAGGCCUUCGGGUUGUAAAGCACUUUUGUCCGGAAAGAAAUCCUUGGCUCUAAUACAGUCGGGGGAUGACGGUACCGGAAGAAUAAGCACCGGCUAACUACGUGCCAGCAGCCGCGGUAAUACGUAGGGUGCAAGCGUUAAUCGGAAUUACUGGGCGUAAAGCGUGCGCAGGCGGUUUGCUAAGACCGAUGUGAAAUCCCCGGGCUCAACCUGGGAACUGCAUUGGUGACUGGCAGGCUAGAGUAUGGCAGAGGGGGGUAGAAUUCCACGUGUAGCAGUGAAAUGCGUAGAGAUGUGGAGGAAUACCGAUGGCGAAGGCAGCCCCCUGGCAAGUACUGACGCUCAUGCACGAAAGCGUGGGGAGCAAACAGGAUUAGAUACCCUGGUAGUCCACGCCCUAAAACGAUGUCAACUAGUUGUUGGGGAUUCAUUUUCCUUAGUAACGUAGCUAACGCGUGAAGUUGACCGCCUGGGGAGUACGGUCGCAAGAUUAAAACUUAAAU